UACGAGUGCCUCAAGCGUUAUCCGGAAUCAUUGGGCGUAAAGGGUGUGUAGGUGGUCUAGUUAGUCUUCUGUCAAAGCCUGGGGCUUAACCCCAGUUCUGCAGAAGAAACGGCUAGACUCGAGGUUGGCAGGGGUGUACGGAACUCAUGGAGUAGGGGUGAAAUCCGUUGAUAUCAUGGGGAACACCAAAAGCGAAGGCAGUACACUGGGCCAUACCUGACACUGAGACACGAAAGCGUGGGUAGCGAACGGG
This 253-nucleotide ribosomal RNA is filed under the name uncultured bacterium. Its description in RNAcentral is "partial 16S ribosomal RNA". It matches the Rfam family "Bacterial small subunit ribosomal RNA", at positions 524 to 776 of the family's 1533-position model. The record is from RNAcentral.